AGAGUAAAGGUGCUAGUGCUGGAAGAGAAUGGACUGAACAGGAGACCCUUCUACUCCUGGAGGCCCUGGAGAUGUACAAGGAUGAUUGGAACAAAGUGUCGGAACAUGUUGGAAGUCGUACUCAGGAUGAAUGCAUCCUCCACUUUUUGAGACUUCCCAUUGAGGACCCAUACCUUGAGAAUUCAGAUGCUUCCCUUGGGCCUUUGGCCUACCAGCCUGUCCCCUUCAGUCAGUCAGGAAAUCCAGUUAUGAGUACUGUUGCUUUUUUGGCAUCUGUGGUGGACCCUCGCGUGGCAUCUGCUGCAGCAAAAGCGGCUUUGGGAGUUUUCUCGGGUCCGGGAGGAGGUACCACUGGAAUUGGUUGAAGCUCAUGUCAAGAAAGUACAAGAAGCAGCACGAGCCUCUGGGAAAGUGGAUCCCACCUACGGUCUGGAGAGCAGCUGCAUUGCAGGCACAGGGCCCGAUGAGCCAGAGAAGCUUGAAGGAGCUGAAGAGGAAAAAAUGGAAGCCGACCCUGAUGGUCAGCAGCCUGAAAAGGCAGAAAAUAAAGUGGAAAAUGAAACGGAUGAAGGUGAUAAAGCACAAGAUGG
This 590-nucleotide long non-coding RNA is filed under the name Homo sapiens (human). RNAcentral's name for it is "long non-coding RNA NONHSAT195724.1". The record is from RNAcentral. Lineage: Eukaryota; Metazoa; Chordata; Mammalia; Primates; Hominidae.